Molecule: RNA transcript, 727 nt
Organism: Eubalaena glacialis (North Atlantic right whale)
Lineage: Eukaryota; Metazoa; Chordata; Mammalia; Artiodactyla; Balaenidae
Gene: H2BN1
Gene name: histone H2A.N
Exons: 3
Source: RefSeq, a predicted model, not a curated record
CCCGUUCCACUCCAAUGCGGCCGCACCCCAGGGCGUCCUCUCUCGGGAAAGCUCAACCAUCGAGCUCAGAGGACCCCGGACACCCCAAUCCGGCCGCACUCCAUCUCUCGCGCUCGGUGCACCCCCGACACCCCCAAUCCGGCCGCACCGCAAGGGCGCCCCCUCUCGGGAAAGCGCAGGCUCGCGGCAUUGCGCACGGCCGCUCCGCCCUCACCUGAGCCGGAGGUUGCCCAUGAACUCGGGCAUGGAGACGGUGUCCAUCAACACGAAGUCCGCCUUCCCGAACUCCAGGCUCUCCUGCUCCGCCAUGGCGCCGGCGCACGGGCUCAGGAAAUCUAGAAGCCCCCAAAGACCUGGCUGGACUCCUACACUAUGGCUGACUGUGAGAUGCGUAAGCCAGACCUAAGGACCUUGCUCACGUUUGCUGCAGCUUCCAACAACCCACCCUGGCCAAGAGAGAGGGUAAGACAGCUUGAUCACCUCCUGCAUGAGCACGUCUGCCAUGAGAAAGCCACCCCAAUCUCUGUCACAGGCAGAGAUGAGUUGUAGUCUGACUACCAUUAGCAGCUCUCGUUCUUCAGAAGACACCUCUCUGAAUCUCAGCAUCCUCGUUUGUGGAAUAAGACCUCUGGGUUAGAUACUUUCCAAGACCCACCCAGACUUCAGUGGGUGCUCCUGGAUCUUGGAUGCACUGGGAGCUCUGGAGGAUUGGUGGCUGGAACGGGUU